Drosophila sechellia is the source of this 178-nucleotide long non-coding RNA. RefSeq lists it as uncharacterized. The transcript is spliced from 3 exons. The record is from RefSeq and is a predicted model, not a curated record. Lineage: Eukaryota; Metazoa; Arthropoda; Insecta; Diptera; Drosophilidae.
AAGUAGUUGUAUCGGUGAUAAGAGAUACUACCAGGGACUGUGUGGCAAGAAGAUUCAGGUUCAGCUAGAGUGCGUUGUCUUAGGCUUGUUCAUCCGGAUGCGUUGAGGAAAGUUAGGCUGGGUCGAGGAAGGUGAUGACCUUGCAUGAGUUUGGGAGCAGACUGACGUGCGCUUUUCA